This 418-nucleotide ribosomal RNA is filed under the name Stygocapitella sp. 169_08. RNAcentral's name for it is "partial large subunit ribosomal RNA". It matches the Rfam family "Bacterial large subunit ribosomal RNA", at positions 1801 to 2575 of the family's 2925-position model. The record is from RNAcentral. Lineage: Eukaryota; Metazoa; Annelida; Polychaeta; Parergodrilidae.
UGUUUAUCAAAAACAUAGCCUACUAUUUAACUUAGGUACAACCCUGCCCUCUGACUUUUAACAGCCGCGGUAUCCUAACCGUGCUAAGGUAGCAUAAUCACUUGCCUAUUAAUUAUAGGCUAGAAUGAACGGGAUCACUCACUUAAACUUAUUUUUAUUUAAAUUUAAAUUAAACUUUAAGUCAAAAUACUAAAUUAAAAAGAAAGACAAAAAGACCCUGAAAACUAUUAGAAAUAAUUAGUUGGGGCAACUAUAGACCACUCUAGCGUCUAUUUUUUUUAACUCUUAAAAUCUAAAGUAUCCAGUUACUUCAGGGAUAACAGACUAAUUUUAUUAUUUAGACCCAAUAAAUAAUAAAGAUUGGCACCUCGAUGUUGGCUUAUAUUUCCUUCAUAUAGCAACAUAUAUAGAAGGCAGC